This 690-nucleotide ribosomal RNA is filed under the name uncultured Enterococcus sp. RNAcentral's name for it is "bacterial SSU rRNA". It matches the Rfam family "Bacterial small subunit ribosomal RNA", at positions 75 to 751 of the family's 1533-position model. Lineage: Bacteria; Bacillati; Bacillota; Bacilli; Lactobacillales; Enterococcaceae. The record is from RNAcentral.
UCGGUUCACCGAGAAAUGGGAGUGGCGAACGGGUGAGUAACACGUGGGUAACCUACCCAUCAGCGGGGGAUAACACUUGGAAACAGGUGCUAAUACCGCAUAAUUCUUUUCUUCGCCUGGAGGAAAGAUGAAAGACGCUUUUGCGUCACUGAUGGAUGGACCCGCGCUGCAUUAGCUAGUUGGUGGGGUAACGGCUCACCAAGGCCACGAUGCAUAGCCGACCUGAGAGGGUGAUCGGCCACACUGGGACUGAGACACGGCCCAGACUCCUACGGGAGGCAGCAGUAGGGAAUCUUCGGCAAUGGACGAAAGUCUGACCGAGCAACGCCGCGUGAGUGAAGAAGGUUUUCGGAUCGUAAAACUCUGUUGUUAGAGAAGAAUAAGGAUGAGAGUAGAAUGUUCAUCCCUUGACGGUAUCUAACCAGAAAGCCACGGCUAACUACGUGCCAGCAGCCGCGGUAAUACGUAGGUGGCAAGCGUUGUCCAGAUUUAUUGGGCGUAAAGCGAGCGCAGGCGGUUUCUUAAGUCUGAUGUGAAAGCCCCCGGCUUAACCGGGGAGGGUCAUUGGAAACUGGGAGACUUGAGUGCAGAAGAGGAGAGUGGAAUUCCAUGUGUAGCGGUGAAAUGCGUAGAUAUAUGGAGGAACACCAGUGGCGAAGGCGACUCUCUGGUCUGUAACUGACGCUGAGG